This 517-nucleotide ribosomal RNA is filed under the name uncultured bacterium. RNAcentral's name for it is "bacterial SSU rRNA". It matches the Rfam family "Bacterial small subunit ribosomal RNA", at positions 1 to 518 of the family's 1533-position model. The record is from RNAcentral.
UUUCGGAUUACUGGCUCAGGAUGAACGCUGGCGGCGUGCCUAAUACAUGCAAGUCGUACGAGGUUAAUCCAGCUUGCUGGAGAGACCUAGUGGCGAACGGGUGAGUAAUACGUAAGUAACCUGCCUGCAAGGACUGGGAUAACACCUGGAAACGGGCGCUAAUACCGGAUAGGUAACGGAGGGGCAUCCUUCUGUUAUUAAAGGUUAAAAACACAAGCAGAUGGGCUUACGGUGCAUUAGCUAGUUGGUGAGGUAACGGCCCACCAAGGCGAUGAUGCAUAGCCGGCCUGAGAGGGUGAACGGCCACAUUGGGACUGAGACACGGCCCAGACUCCUACGGGAGGCAGCAGUAGGGAAUUUUCGGCAAUGGGCGAAAGCCUGACCGAGCAACGCCCGCGUGAGUGAAGAAGAAUUUCGGUUCGUAAAGCUCUGUUGUAAGGGAAGAACAGCACGGAGAGAAUCCGUGUGUGACGGUACCUUACCAGAAAGCCACGGCUAACUACGUGCCAGCCGCCGC